This 29-nucleotide small RNA is filed under the name Bombyx mori (domestic silkworm). RNAcentral's name for it is "ovarian small RNA-29042". The record is from RNAcentral. Lineage: Eukaryota; Metazoa; Arthropoda; Insecta; Lepidoptera; Bombycidae.
UCGGUGGCACAGCGAGCUUCGUGCUUUGG